Molecule: ribosomal RNA, 651 nt
Filed under: Triticum aestivum (bread wheat)
Lineage: Eukaryota; Viridiplantae; Streptophyta; Magnoliopsida; Poales; Poaceae
Description: partial small subunit ribosomal RNA
Source: RNAcentral
AUGGCCACUUCCGCUCUCACCGCCGUUCUUGGGAACGUGGGAAAUCUUGCUGUUCAGGAGACUAGUUUAUUAUGUGGGGUUACCCUUGAAGUGGCCUUCUUGAAAGAUGAGGUGAUGCGGCUGCAGGGCUACCUCAGAGAUGCUGAGAGCAGACAGAGAUCUGGAAAUGCAAGCGUUGCUAUUUUGAUGAGCCAGAUUAGGGAUGCCGCAUAUCAGGCUGAGAAUGGCAUCGAAGCCGCAGACUAUAUGAAGAAGAGAAACAUGAUCAAGAAGAGCUUCAUGGGUACAAUUUCAAGGUAUGCUCGCUUACCAAGCGACUUGACUACCCUUCAUAAAGUAGGUACUGAAAUUAAGCGCGUGAGCAGGAAACUCAAUGAGAUAUUUCAGAGUGUACAACGCUUGAAUAUCGACUUGGACACUCGUGUUGUGGAUGAGUCGCUGGAAGAUUAUGGCCUUAUGCACCAAAACUUUCAGGAUGAUGUUGUCAUGAUUGGUUUCGAGGACGAGUACAAAGAAACAGUGGAUAAAUUAGUUCACGGAGAAGAUAUGCUUAAUGUUGUCUCCAUAGUUUCCAUGGGUGGGGCAGGCAAAACAACCCUUGCUAGGAAAGUAUACACUUCAUCUGGAUCAAACAACACUUUGAGGCACUGA